This 632-nucleotide unclassified non-coding RNA is filed under the name Zea mays. RNAcentral describes it as "misc RNA Zm00001eb014660". The record is from RNAcentral. Lineage: Eukaryota; Viridiplantae; Streptophyta; Magnoliopsida; Poales; Poaceae.
GUUUGGCCCCAGCAUACCUUUGCUGGGUCGCUGGAACUGAGCGUCCAAAUUUCGCCCCCUCCAGAGCCUGCUUGGGCCCUCAGUUUAGUUGCAGCCCAGAAUAAAAAUUUAACUGGCCAGGGCAGUACGUCCCUAAAAGUUUAUACUAGGAGGACAGCUGAUAACAGGAGGCAAAAGUAUGAUUCUCAGGAUUCCCCACUCAUUCAAACCCUUCAGCCAAAUCAAGCCUCUUCUCCUCAAGAACAGAAUGGUAUUGGAAAUGCAGUCCAAGCUUUUGUUGACAAAGUAACCAGGAAGGUGGAUGGUCUGCUCCCUCCACCACUCCCCCACAGAAGACGAUCCAAGCAACUUCCAUCUGACUUCAUCCCACGCAGAAGCAGUCGCCUGGCAAAGCGAGAUAAUAAAACAAAUGCUGCACGCAGACAGAUUCAAGCUGACCUGAUAAGAAGCCUGGAUGUGCCUUGCGAUGGAGAGUUGUUAAGUCCUAAAGCCCUUGAAGCUUAUGGCAACUUGUUCAAAAACUCACUCUCUGAAGCUCAUAUCAAAGCACUGUCAGCCCUCUUUGGAUGGACAGUCCCAGAUGUUUUUGAACCUGUUAAUGUGUUGUGUAUCGCCGGGCAAGGCCCAGAAGA